Molecule: long non-coding RNA, 1166 nt
Organism: Capsicum annuum
Lineage: Eukaryota; Viridiplantae; Streptophyta; Magnoliopsida; Solanales; Solanaceae
Exons: 3
Source: RefSeq, a predicted model, not a curated record
UCACUUCACAUCCGUCUCUACAGCAACAAAAUCAGUAGUAGCUCCACUCCCAUUACUGCUGACAAAUACAGUGCCACCUUUUUCAGUUAUAUAGUACUCCUAUGUGAAAAUUUUCAUCUGGGGUUUCUUUAUUUUCUUGUGUUAAAGAAUGGAUCUUUUUGGUUGAGUUAGUGAAAAUGGAGUAAGACACCUUACAAUCUACUGAGGAAAAAUGGCGGAAUCCAUACGAAGGAAAAGACAAAAUGCGGCAAAGGAGGAUAAGAAGAGGGAAAAAGCAGCACCUGAGGAUUGGGAAAUGGAGUAUUCGUAUGAGGAAAAGAUGCUAAAAGCAUAUCUUGAUCCUGACAGACAAGGAUAUGUGAAUUGGGAGAAGAAAAAUCGAUCAUGGGAAUUACAAAAUGGCUUUACUACCCACAGUUGAGGAUUGGGAAAUGGAGUACUGAUUCGAGGAGAAGAGGCUAAAAUCACAUCUCGACAAAGAUGGAGGAUAUUACAGGUGGGAAAAACAAAAUUGGCUUUGGGAAAGAGAGAAUCAUCGGGUACCGUUUGAAUAAGGGGAGGAGGAGGAGAGGAAGCAAAAAGAAGUUCGUGUUUUACUGUCAUUGCUGUCACUAAAGGAUCCGAAGAAAGAAAAGGAGGCAUUCCAUAAGAGGUUACUUGAACUUCAUACGAAACGUGUGCCCUCAAGGGAGGAGGAGCUGCAAAAACGGGAGGGGAGACGAGAAGAACUUGCAACACAAGGAAGAUGUCUUGAUGGGAACUAUCUAACCCCAUAUUGCAAGUGCGACAGACAAUGCUAUCGAUUUGAUACAACUUUGAAGGAUCAUCCCCAAGAAUGUCUCCCAAUUUGGCUCGCAUAUUGUCGCCAGUAUCGCCAAUCACAUUGUUUUGACAUUGAUGACUGCAUUGAUGGAGUAUGUCCGUUAGGACCAUCUCACGGUUUCGGGGGCAUGAGUGAGAUUAUGACGGAACUGGCUAGCCGUGCUAUCAAGGAAUAUAACGAGAAAGAGUGCAAUGUAUAUAUGAACCUUUAUUUGCUUUCUCUAAUUAGUCUCCGAUUAUCCUUUUCCUUUAUUUUCAGCUAAUUGUGACUCUCGUUGAAGUGUUUUAAAUUACAAUGCCACUGGAAAGGAUUAAUGGAUAUCUCCUUCUUUUAUUUUGCUCGA